GAUGAACGCUGGCGGCGUGCUUAAUACAUGCAAGUCGAGCGGACGGACGAGGAUCUUGCGGCGUGGAUGUGAGCGGCGGGCGGGAGUGACACGCGUGUAAAAUCCACCUGUAUGUGGGGGAUAAUCUGGAAAAAGGGGCUCUAACAGGAUAGAAGAUUCUGAAGCGUGGUGUGGGUAGGUGAGAUACGGUGGUUGGGGAUCGUCUAGAGGCAUCCGCGCUGCAUGAGAUGGUUGUUAGGGUAACGGGCUACCAAGGCAACGAUGCAUGGGCGAACGGAGAGGCUGAUAGGCCACACUGGAACUGAGACACGGUCAAGAGUCCUACGGGAGGCCGCAGUAGGGAAUGUUCGGCAAUGGGCGAAAGCAUGACGGAGCAAGGCCGAGUGAGUGAUGAAGGUCUUCGGAUCGUAAAACUCUGUUAUUAGGGAAGAACAUAUGUGUAAGUAGAUGUGCCCAUCUUGACGGUACCUAAUAAGAAAGCACCGGCUAACUACGUG
This 497-nucleotide ribosomal RNA is filed under the name uncultured bacterium. RNAcentral describes it as "partial 16S ribosomal RNA". It matches the Rfam family "Bacterial small subunit ribosomal RNA", at positions 28 to 507 of the family's 1533-position model. The record is from RNAcentral.